Molecule: long non-coding RNA, 565 nt
Organism: Gekko japonicus
Lineage: Eukaryota; Metazoa; Chordata; Lepidosauria; Squamata; Gekkonidae
Exons: 3
Source: RefSeq, a predicted model, not a curated record
UCGAAAUGAUGCAACGGUUUUUAAAAGCCCGGCUCUUAACUCCUAAAUGGCUAGCUUAACUCGUUAGGUGACCAUUGCUUUCUGCUGCUUAAAAAUACACUUUGGCAGGAAAGAGCGCACCAGCCUCCCUUUAUUUUUUGUGAAGAUUUCGUCAUAAGAAGCACUCCAUGAUGUAAAUGGCAUAAUCUUUUAGAUCAAAACAAAUCAGUGCGCACCCUUAGAAUGUAUUAAUGCCAUUCACAAAUGGGAAUACAACAGCUGUCUCCAAAUCUAUUUGACGGCUUUUGCCCAAGUAAAAUGACAGAAGAGAAGACAAAUACAUACACCCUGCAAGCAUCUGUCUUCGCUGAUGGUGCUGCCACUUAGAAGACCACAGCCAUAGCAUAAUUUAUGCAUUCAUGAAAGGCAGUUGGCCUGUUCCUCUGGGACUGAAAAUGUCACCUCUGCUAGACCAGGGCCUGGAAUUUCAGCUGCAUUCUUGAACUUGUGUUGCCCAGUUACUGUUUGAUUACUUUAAUACAAGAAGAAAUAAAUAAUGCAGAUUACCAGAUAUUGUUAACUCUUU